This 72-nucleotide transfer RNA is filed under the name Bos taurus (domestic cattle). It matches the Rfam family "tRNA". Rfam says of the family: Transfer RNA (tRNA) molecules are approximately 80 nucleotides in length. Their secondary structure includes four short double-helical elements and three loops (D, anti-codon, and T loops). The record is from Rfam by way of RNAcentral. Lineage: Eukaryota; Metazoa; Chordata; Mammalia; Artiodactyla; Bovidae.
UCCCCGGUGGUCCAGUUGCUGGACUCUAUGCUUCCAAAGCAGGGGGCCCGGGUUCAACCCCUGGUCAGGGAA